UGGCUUCGAUGUUUCACCGCGCAAUGCCGCUUCCUGGUGUAAACUCACCGUUAGUGUCACUUCUUAUUUAUCAUUCGUGGCUAAUCCCUUUUAAUCUCUGGAAACGCUUUCCUUGCUGGUCCAGUUUAAACACCAAGAUACGUCCUCAUAUAUCUCAGUGGCGCAGCCAAUGAGGAUCUUAAUAGAUACUAAAUACUCCCGGAAUUAAAGGUAUAAGGUUGUCUUUUUUCUCUGCAUUUAUCACUUUCAUUAUGUUAAACCUUCUCAAGGUCAAAAGAAGUCAUACUUUAUUUACAAGUUUAGUUAGGUUAACUCUAACCAUUUCAUCAUUCAGGUUCCUGCCUUGGAUGACCGCUUCCAGUGCCAAGAGUAGAGCAUUGCCAUUGCCAACUAUGGGCAGCUAUUGUGUGCCGGGCAUUUCAGACGCCCAGAAAGAAAAUCUGCAUGCUUUUUUCUUUGCUAGUUUGAUCAGUUACCUGAUUGGCCAUUCAGUAUUUAUUGAUUCAGAUACAUUUGAAUAUUAAACAUUAGUUUUAGUCUGAUUAGUAGAGUAUAUUGCCACAUUGUAGUAGCAGCGUUUGAGCACUGGUAGGCAGCAUUGAUGCAGUUUCCAUAGCUGUAGUGAGGUCAGAUGGCGAGCAGUACUGCUUCGCAUUCUCAUCAUUAGCUCUAAGAUAACAUUUUGACAAGACUUUUUCUAGCAUGUGUUAAUAACCACGUCAUGGCUGAAUAACAGCCAUUAUCAAUGCUUUGUGGAUUGUCAGGGAAGGCUCUCUGUAAAUCAGAGGCCUAUCAGUCAGAAUAAGGUAUGCACUGGACCAUGAUAAGGUGCAGUCUGCACUGGACUUCAUAGUGAACACGGAUGUGCGUCACUCUCUAUCACGAUCAGAUCUCAGAACAAUUUCUGUAAUGCCAUGUCGUCAGGUAGAGAAGUACGCAAAGCCCAGACCAGAGUUUAUUUUUGUUUCCCCGUGCCAGUGCCUUCACCCAGUGGGGAAGAGGAGGGAGGGUGGAGAGGUACGUGCCUACUGCCUACAGCCAUGGUGGUCGAUUGGCGGUGCAGUCCUCUAUCAGGACAGGAUGCCGCUCUCUGAAUGUCCUGUGUUUACAGUGGAGCCGCCGCUCCGAGCACCACCCUGGAACAGCCGCCCGCCAGCCCACCCUCCUCACCCCUAAUCACUCAGACUACCCCCUACUCACCUGCUCCCUGCCCCUUAGAGGGAGACAAGUCUGCACUCUCCAACUUUCCCAUUGAAUUUGAUAUUGAUUCUGUAGGGCUAACCAUUUGGUCUGGCUGAUGAACAUGUCAUAUGGCCUUUCCCACACAGAUGCUGGUGUUGCUGGACUCCUUAAUGGAAAAGAAAGACCACGAAGAUGACCUUACAUACCACCCUCUCCCUUUCCAGAUUCUUUAGGCUGGACCAGAUGCAGACGAGGGCCAUUCCUUUGCCAUGCUGGUGCUACAGGGGACUGUCUGUGAUGUCUCAAUCGGUGGUGUCUGGCUCCACCGUGGGAAGCAGAUGACUUUGAGCUGUAGGACCAGUGGCUGGAGGAUGUGCAAGCAAGUGAUGGCAGAUGGAAGGACCAUCAAAGCAAGGGAUUGAAAAGGCAUUGCGGAGGACCAGAGGAUCAAAGCCCUGGUCUAUUGACCAAUCCUUUCUAACACGAUGUCGAGUACAAAUCUAUUAUUGAGAUGAGUAGCUCAGCCAAUAAAAGUAAAAUCACUAUUAACAAUUCGUCCUGUUCAUAGCAGUGAAAAUGUUUACAUUAUUUGUUAUAAACAGAUUGUUUUUGAUUCAAUUCUGUCACAUACAGUAUUAGUCAUGUUUAUGGAAAUGCAAAAAGGUUAGUGCAAUCAGGACUAUGUGUGACCUGUGGAUUUGCUGCCAAGUUUAUACUACACUUAUGUGGGAAAUAAAGUACUGUUUUGAUCCUGAA
Long non-coding RNA from Salmo salar (Atlantic salmon), 1938 nucleotides. RefSeq lists it as uncharacterized. The record is from RefSeq and is a predicted model, not a curated record. Lineage: Eukaryota; Metazoa; Chordata; Actinopteri; Salmoniformes; Salmonidae.